CACGUAGGGUGCAAGCGUUGUCCGGAAUUAUUGGGCGUAAAGGGCUCGUAGGCGGUCCGUCACGUCGGGAGUGAAAACUCGGGGCUCAACCUCGGGUCUGCAGUCGAUACGGGCAAACUGGAGUGUUGCAGGGGAGACUGGAAUUCCUGGUGUAGCGGUGAAAUGCGCAGAUAUCAGGAGGAACACCGGUGGCGAAGGCGGGUCUCUGGGCAACAACUGACGCUGAGGAGCGAAAGCGUGGGGAGCGAACAGG
RNAcentral lists this ribosomal RNA (253 nucleotides) under uncultured bacterium. Its description in RNAcentral is "partial 16S ribosomal RNA". It matches the Rfam family "Bacterial small subunit ribosomal RNA", at positions 524 to 776 of the family's 1533-position model. The record is from RNAcentral.